UACGGAGGAUCCGAGCGUUAUCCGGAUUUAUUGGGUUUAAAGGGUGCGUAGGCGGUUUGAUAAGUUAGAGGUGAAAUGUCGGGGCUCAACCCCGAAACUGCCUCUAAUACUGUUGGACUAGAGAAUAGUUGCGGUAGGCGGAAUGAAUGGUGUAGCGGUGAAAUGCUUAGAGAUCAUACAGAACACCGAUUGCGAAGGCAGCUUACCAAACUAUAUCUGACGUUGAGGCACGAAAGCGUGGGUAGCAAACAGG
RNAcentral lists this ribosomal RNA (253 nucleotides) under uncultured bacterium. Its description in RNAcentral is "partial 16S ribosomal RNA". It matches the Rfam family "Bacterial small subunit ribosomal RNA", at positions 524 to 776 of the family's 1533-position model. The record is from RNAcentral.